ACGAACGCUGGCGGCGUGCCUAAUACAUGCAAGUCGAGCGAACCAAUAAGAAGCUUGCUUUUUGUUGGUUAGCGGCGGACGGGUGAGUAACACGUGGGUAACCUGCCUGUAAGACCGGGAUAACUCCGGGAAACCGGUGCUAAUACCGGAUAGAUUAUCUUUCCGCCUGGAGAGAUAAGGAAAGAUGGCNUAUUGCCAUCACUUACAGAUGGGCCCGCGGCGCAUUAGCUAGUUGGUGAGGUAACGGCUCACCAAGGCGACGAUGCGUAGCCGACCUGAGAGGGUGAUCGGCCACACUGGGACUGAGACACGGCCCAGACUCCUACGAGAGG
Molecule: ribosomal RNA, 332 nt
Filed under: uncultured Bacillus BS2
Lineage: Bacteria; Bacillati; Bacillota; Bacilli; Caryophanales; Bacillaceae
Description: bacterial SSU rRNA
Rfam family: Bacterial small subunit ribosomal RNA
Source: RNAcentral